Cimex lectularius (bed bug) is the source of this 2516-nucleotide long non-coding RNA. RefSeq lists it as uncharacterized. The transcript has 3 exons. The record is from RefSeq and is a predicted model, not a curated record. NCBI's taxonomy places the organism in Eukaryota, Metazoa, Arthropoda, Insecta, Hemiptera, Cimicidae.
CUACGGAAAUCGCCUCCCUGGGCGAAUUGUGCUUUUCCCGUUUGGUCGCGGGGGCGGCGUAAAAUUGUAAGAUUACGAUGACGAUUUAACACAUUUGUCACUGACGGCCGCGGAAGGACUGACUUGAGAGCGUAAUCCCCGUUUUACGCGUCCCCACUUCAAGCGACAUAUUCAUUUCAAGAGGGGAGGAAAUGGGAUAUUGGCGACCCUCGGAUGGACGCGGUUUUUUUUGAGAUAAUUCCACGCGAAUUAUAGCUUCUUGCAUAAUUUACGAAGGGGCCGAGAUCCGGGCAAAUUGGCUUUUCUACUUUCCAGCACGUUUUUAAUUGUUUUCCGCACCCAGACAAAUCUGAGCAAGUCGGCUGAAAUCUGACUCAGAAGCUUCAUACGCGCUUUUUCGACAAAACCGCAGAAAAACGUUCAAUCCUAGUGUUUGAGCUUCUGUCCACCUUCAGUGAUUCAGCAGAAAAUCCUCAAAAAUGUAAGAAAGAAAUUGGUCGAAAUAACCGGUCGUUUCCAACCUUUUUUGGCAUUUUUAUCUGGAUGGCCAGAAAGGACCAAGCUUUCUGCAAAUCCCAAGAAGAACAAAAAACCUUUAAAUUUCUUCACAUUCCAUUAUAACUGAAGAUUGUGACAAGUUGUAUAUUAAAGGAUAACCGCCUAAAAAAAUGCUGUCCUAAAUAAAUGUCGAAGAUUACAGUAGUUUGACAGACCGUAACAACGGCGACCAAAACCUCAAAAAAAAACAAAAAAACAUUCAAUCUCCGUGUUUCAACUUCUUGCUAUCUUCAGUGCUCAUUCAACAGAAAAUGCUCAUUAUAUAAAAUUUAAGAAAUUGGUCGAAAUAAUAAAUCUCUCGGUCGUUUCCAACAGUUUCUGACAUUUCUGCUUACAUUAUUUCAACUUUAUUUUUCAGGAGGACAUAUGUCAUUUAUAGAAAUGAGAUUUCCAGAAAAUAUAUCUUACGGUUCAAUUGGAGGACCGGAAUUUUCCACUGGUCACAAAAGACCAAGCUUUCCGCAAAACCUCAAGAAGAACAGAAAACCUUUAAAUUUCUUCACAUUGCAUUGUAACUGAAGAUUGUGAUAGGUAGUAUAUUAAAGGAUAAUUGCCUAUAAAAAAUGCUGCCCUAAAUAAAUGACGAAGAUUUCAGUAGUUUGACAGACCUUAACAGCGACAACCAAAACCUCAAAAAAAAAAAAAAAUUCAAUCUCCGUGUUUCAGCUUCUUGCUAUCUUCAGUGCCGAUUGAACAGAAAACGCUCAUUAUAUAAAAUUUAAGAAAUUGGUCGAAAUAAUUGUAGCUCGGUCGUUUCCAACAGUUUUUUGACAUUUCUGCUUACAUUAUUUCAACUUUAUUUUCAGGAGGACAUAUGUCAUUUAUAGAAAUGAGAUUUCCAGAAAAUAUAUCUUACGGUUCAAUUGGAGGACCGGAAUUUUCCACUGGUCACAAAAGACCAAGCUUUCCGCAAAACCUCAAGAAGAACAGAAAACCUUUAAAUUUCUUCACAUUCCAUUAUAACUGAAGAUCGUGACAAGUAGUAUAUUAAAGGAUAAUCGCCUAUAAAAAAAUGCUGCCCUAAAUAAAUGACGAAGAUUUCAGUAGUUUGACAGACCUUAACAGCGAGACAGAUAUAUCAGAUCGACCGGAAAUUAAAAAUUCCGAUUUAUGAAGAAAUAUUGUAUUUUGUGAACAACACACGUAUUAGAAGAAACAGACACUUGUCAUAAUAUUUAUGAACGCAGUGAGAUUUCUCGUUGAGGCAUUCGGGUGAUGAAGUUUGAUAACCUCUGAUCUUCAGGUCAGCCCAUGCUCACUGUCUGUGAGGCGCGUUCCGACAUCUUCAGUGGUAUCUAAUGAUGUUUGAAAAGUAUAAAUAGGAAGAAAAAACACACAGAUACUACAGAUUACAAAAUGCAGAACGCAUCUGACGGCGGAAACGACCAAGACUGACCUUACGAGGAAAUCUCAUAGUUUAUAAACAUUAGACAAGCCUGGUAUUAUAAAAUUUUUCGCUCAGUACGAGUGGACAUACAAUUUCACCCUUAGGUCGUUCAAGUGCUAAAGAUCGGGAGGACGAGAUGUAACAGGGGAUGAAUCAUUUCGACGGACGUCAAGAAGGUCGGCUUCGUGGCACGGCUAUUUUGAGAAAGAAUUCAGUAUUUUUGUCAACGCUCCAGUCCGGACAUUCUGGGCCCCUAGAAAUACAACGAUUGUAAAAAUAGACUCUUAUCACGAACGAGAUUCGGAUAAAAAGUAGUUCUGAUCAUUUUUUUUUUUUUUUAAUAAAACGUCUCUUCCGGCAAAUCAGGAAGUCUCUCCAGAGCGGUUGUCACCAGAUCGAUCCGCGAGCUCUUUUAAGGAAAACCCGUGGGCCGUGAGGUCAGCUGGAAGGAAACCGUGAUGUCCCACAUCAAUACAAAAUGUAUAAACAUGAUGAGCCUGUCUUUGUGGAGCCCCGGAAGCCAAAAAAAGGCUCUACGUAGUAUGAGGUGUUGUUGGAGAUUUCAAGUGGA